Molecule: ribosomal RNA, 853 nt
Rfam family: Bacterial small subunit ribosomal RNA
UUUUAUGGAGAGUUUGAUCCUGGCUCAGGAUGAACGCUGGCGGCGUGCCUAAUACAUGCAAGUCGAGCGAACGGACGAGAAGCUUGCUUCUCUGAUGUUAGCGGCGGACGGGUGAGUAACACGUGGAUAACCUACCUAUAAGACUGGGAUAACUUCGGGAAACCGGAGCUAAUACCGGAUAAUAUUUUGAACCGCAUGGUUCAAAAGUGAAAGACGGUCUUGCUGUCACUUAUAGAUGGAUCCGCGCUGCAUUAGCUAGUUGGUAAGGUAACGGCUUACCAAGGCAACGAUGCAUAGCCGACCUGAGAGGGUGAUCGGCCACACUGGAACUGAGACACGGUCCAGACUCCUACGGGAGGCAGCAGUAGGGAAUCUUCCGCAAUGGGCGAAAGCCUGACGGAGCAACGCCGCGUGAGUGAUGAAGGUCUUCGGAUCGUAAAACUCUGUUAUUAGGGAAGAACAUAUGUGUAAGUAACUGUGCACAUCUUGACGGUACCUAAUCAGAAAGCCACGGCUAACUACGUGCCAGCAGCCGCGGUAAUACGUAGGUGGCAAGCGUUAUCCGGAAUUAUUGGGCGUAAAGCGCGCGUAGGCGGUUUUUUAAGUCUGAUGUGAAAGCCCACGGCUCAACCGUGGAGGGUCAUUGGAAACUGGAAAACUUGAGUGCAGAAGAGGAAAGUGGAAUUCCAUGUGUAGCGGUGAAAUGCGCAGAGAUAUGGAGGAACACCAGUGGCGAAGGCGACUUUCUGGUCUGUAACUGACGCUGAUGUGCGAAAGCGUGGGGAUCAAACAGGAUUAGAUACCCUGGUAGUCCACGCCGUAAACGAUGAGUGCUAAGUGUUAGGGGGUUUCC